AACGCUAGCUACAGGCUUAACACAUGCAAGUCGAGGGGUAACGAGAGGGAAGCUUGCUUUCCUUGUCGACGACCGGCGCACGGGUGAGUAACGCGUAUGCAACCUACCUAUCAGAGGGGGAUAACCCGGCGAAAGUCGGACUAAUACCGCAUAAAACAGGGGCACCGCAUGGUGAUAUUUGUUAAAAAUUUAUUGCUGAUAGAUGGGCAUGCGUUCCAUUAGGUAGUUGGAGAGGUAACGGCUCACCAAGCCUACGAUGGAUAGGGGAACUGAGAGGUUGGUCCCCCACACUGGUACUGAGACACGGACCAGACUCCUACGGGAGGCAGCAGUGAGGAAUAUUGGUCAAUGGGCGAGAGCCUGAACCAGCCAAGUCGCGUGAAGGAAGAAGGAUCUAUGGUUCGUAAACUUCUUUUGCAGGGGAAUAAAGUGCAGGACGUGUCCUGUUUUGUAUGUACCCUGAGAAUAAGGAUCGGCUAACUCCGUGCCAGCAGCCGCGGUAAUACGGAGGAUCCGAGCGUUAUCCGGAUUUAUUGGGUUUAAAGGGUGCGUAGGUGGUUUAAUAAGUCAGCGGUGAAAGUUUGCAGCUUAACUGUAAAAAUGCCGUUGAAACUGUUAGACUUGAGUGUAAAUGAGGUAGGCGGAAUGCGUGGUGUAGCGGUGAAAUGCUUAGAUAUCACGAAGAACUCCGAUUG
RNAcentral lists this ribosomal RNA (695 nucleotides) under uncultured bacterium. Its description in RNAcentral is "bacterial SSU rRNA". It matches the Rfam family "Bacterial small subunit ribosomal RNA", at positions 32 to 715 of the family's 1533-position model. The record is from RNAcentral.